RNAcentral lists this long non-coding RNA (1134 nucleotides) under Dicentrarchus labrax (European seabass). RNAcentral describes it as "lncRNA (ENSDLAG00005034827.1)". Lineage: Eukaryota; Metazoa; Chordata; Actinopteri; Moronidae. The record is from RNAcentral.
AUGGCGCCUUAUUUAAGCUGCUUUAGCCUGCCUGCCUAUCUCUGCUGCUUCCUCUACAAGCCUUUUUGCCAGGAUGUUGUGUGCGUUACUUGUGGUUUGUCGUUUGUUUCUACUUGUCCUGUCUGCGUCUCCCUAGGCAGCCAAUAUACCCAGAUAGGGAGCUGAGAGCUGACAAUGGUGAACAGCUCGUUACACUGGAGACCAUUCUUGGCUACACGCUCAUCCUCACCCUUCCCAUCAUCCCCCAGGUGGUAUCACUCAACACUGAAGAAGACAUUCCAAUAAUCUAAUCAGCCGACAUGUAAACGUACCACAUCCCUGAACAACAUGCACACUGUGAUUGUCAGACAGAGAUUACUCCACACUGCAGACUAACACAGAAAGGAGGAAAAAAUGAUAACAGGACCUUUUGAGUUCCAAUGGCUGUGGUGGGAGUCGAACCCAGAAGGGCCCACCCACGUAGACCAGAGAAGGGGGGGGGGUGAGAAGGCCAAGCUGCUGAGAGCUGGUGGAACAGUAUGAACCACAGUGCUUACCACAGUGUCAGAUUUAUCUGUGUUAUUUGUCCAGGAAAAACAAAACUGUGGCUACCUUGCCUUAAAUCUAAGGUAAAUGGCUUAGAAAAUAGCUAUCAGCUACUAUAGGAGGAACUGUGUUGACCUUCAUGGCAUAAAGCCUACAUCAAGGUUUGAGUUUUUUAUUGUAUAACCACAUCGGAAUUUCUCCCCAAUAAAUGAACAUUUUGUAAUAUUUUAUUUAGAUACAAGACUUGGAGUAUACAGCCACGCUAGCUGCUCUGUGAGGCUGUACUUAGAAGCCUUAGAGCUGAAUGCUAACGUUAGCAUGCUCAGAAUAUCAAUGUUAAAAUGGUUAAAUGUUUACUAUGUUCACAAUCCUAAUUUAACAUGCUACACACACACACAAAGUACAACUGAGGCUGAUGGGAAUGCCAUUCAUUUUGCAGGUAUUUGUUUAUAAACCAACAUUUUGAGAGGGAAAUGUGCCAAAUUUAUGGCAAUCCAUGUAAUAGUCGGUGCAAAAUUUCAUUCCAGACCAAAGUGGUGGAGUGACCGACUGACAGACCGGUAUUACCAUCGGGCAACAAGAUUUCUCAGUUUCAUAGAGAUUAGUCUU